Drosophila virilis is the source of this 1430-nucleotide non-coding RNA. NCBI's taxonomy places the organism in Eukaryota, Metazoa, Arthropoda, Insecta, Diptera, Drosophilidae. The record is from RefSeq and is a predicted model, not a curated record.
UUUAACAAAAAUCCCUAUUUAAAACAUUGCGUUGCGGCUAUUUAUUCAACUUCGAGUCCCGUGUUCUAUAUACAUACGCGCCCACGCGCCUAAUUGCCAACCAUGUGAGGCAGCCGGUAGCCGCUUGCGCACAUCCAUUUCCAAUUGGUGACUGUGCGCAUUUUGUGUUUAUCCAAGGAUCCUGCGUUCCAUUGUGUGCACACAAUGAUUUGUAUUGUCUGUUGUUUGCCUGCGAUCUCAACUCUUUUACAUGGGCGCGUGGCCGGCUUGCGAGCCUGUCGCCCGUCUGCCAGUUCUCUAGUUGUCGUCGUACCCCCCUUCCCCCUGCCCAGCCCCUUAUCGUGUGUCUAGUCUGUGAAUAUUUUUAUAAGCAUUUUCUCAUGUGUGUUUCCUGUUUGUGUGUUUUAAUGUGUCCUCAAAACUGUUCACGGAGCCUACAAAGUGUGUAUUGAGAAUAUAUAUAUAUAUAUAUAGUCCAUCUGUCCAUCUUGGAUAUUUGUCAUUGGAACGGGCGAGCGAAAAAAGGGUUGGACAAACUUGCCUUCUGUUCUUCGAGAUAACUUCAGCAAAGUCUGCCAAUGCGAUCUGAAGUCCAUUCAAUUUUUGGCCUAGCAAAAAACGCAUUCGUUUUUCUGCUUGUUUUAAUUAAAAUUCACAACAAAAUCCGCAUAACAUGAGGCCCACCCUCAACAAUAGGAAUUUGCAUGACAUGCACACAAUAAGGAAAAAACAACACAAGAAAAAAAAAUUAUGAGAAAAGGACACACACACACACACAGGUGCGUUCGGAUCGCGGCAGACAAUGCACGGAGCUGUGAUUGGCAUAGUUCUUGCUGUGCGCCUGCUCCCAUUGUAAGCGAUUGUCCAGCGUUAUGGUAAUUAUUACCUGUGUGUACGUGUGUGUGUGUGUGUGUGGCAUUUAAUUAAAAAUUGUUGUCGUUUGCGAUUUUGGCUGCAGUACAGUCGAGUCCAGUCGGGAGUCCAGCUGAACAGAAAUCUGAGCAUCAGACAGUCAACCCCCGUGCAUGGCUAAAGGUUCUCAAUGCUUAAAAGGCUUGAGAACUGCAGUUGCCGCUGACCCACAGCCGCGUCAUUUGGCUGCAAUUAUUUGUGAAAAUAACCUUAUAUAUGGAUGAUAUAUGGAUGGAUAUGGAUGGAUAUAUGGAUGUGCGCAGCAUAACAAUUAUUUUGCGAUUUUCACAGAGAUUAGCCACAACAAAAGGCGAAUGGCCAUUGUUGCUUGGGCAUUUGGAACUGGCCAACUGUUUCUGACCCUUUUGUCAUGUUGUGUCCGUUCUCUCGUUUGUGUCAAAUGUUUUUAGCCGCUCGCUGCGGCUGCGCUCACACAUGCGGCAGCAGCUACCAUAUACAAUUUAUAUACCAAUAUAUGUACACAUAUUUAAUUGGUACAGUUGUGUCCACUUGCAUUG